RNAcentral lists this ribosomal RNA (534 nucleotides) under uncultured bacterium. Its description in RNAcentral is "bacterial SSU rRNA". It matches the Rfam family "Bacterial small subunit ribosomal RNA", at positions 777 to 1305 of the family's 1533-position model. The record is from RNAcentral.
AAUAGAUACCCAGGUAGUCCACGCCGUAAACGGUGGGCACUAGGUGUGGGCGACAUUCCACGUCGUCCGUGCCGCAGCUAACGCAUUAAGUGCCCCGCCUGGGGAGUACGGCCGCAAGGCUAAAACUCAAAGGAAUUGACGGGGCCCGCACAAGCGGCGGAGCAUGUGGCUUAAUUCGACGCAACGCGAAGAACCUUACCAAGGCUUGACAUACACCGGAAAGCAUCAGAGAUGGUGCCCCCCUUGUGGUCGGUGUACAGGUGGUGCAUGGCUGUCGUCAGCUCGUGUCGUGAGAUGUUGGGUUAAGUCCCGCAACGAGCGCAACCCUUGUCCCGUGUUGCCAGCAGGCCCUUGUGGUGCUGGGGACUCACGGGAGACCGCCGGGGUCAACUCGGAGGAAGGUGGGGACGACGUCAAGUCAUCAUGCCCCUUAUGUCUUGGGCUGCACACGUGCUACAAUGGCCGGUACAAUGAGCUGCGAUACCGCGAGGUGGAGCGAAUCUCAAAAAGCCGGUCUCAGUUCGGAUUGGGGUC